This is an RNA transcript of Phacochoerus africanus (Common warthog), 2191 nucleotides long. It is a transcript of the gene named olfactory receptor 2H1-like, with no coding region annotated. NCBI's taxonomy places the organism in Eukaryota, Metazoa, Chordata, Mammalia, Artiodactyla, Suidae. The transcript has 4 exons. The record is from RefSeq and is a predicted model, not a curated record.
UCCCCAAUCUACUACUUUUCUCUACACAGAUCCAAGCCACUGUAGUCACUACAGUGUGUCACUGUGUGUCUGUGCCGUAUGUAACGAGAGAGAGAGAAACUGAUUUAAGAGGAGCACUGCUAGAAGAGAGGCUGACCCCCUGGACUGAGGAGGGGAGGUUGUUGGCAAAGAGCCAGCUCUGGCCUCAUCCAUCCGGCAGAAUGACAGAGGCACUGUUUGACCUGGAGGAAGAGGGGAUGAAGGAGCUGCUGGCGAUGUGCCUGAGGCGGUGAUGUGCACGCUGAGGACGCCGGGGCGAGAGGACCGGGAAGAGAAACGUCCGCCUGCUGCGACCUGGCAAGUACCCAGUGGGACUUUUCAUAAGAUAACUUGACACACUCCCCCGACAGCCCUCAUCCCUCUAGGUCUGGACAGGAACAGGCCAUGGUCAACCACAGCUCCCCGGCAGGCUUCCUCCUUCUGGGCUUCUCUGAACACCCAGAGCUCGAGAGACUCCUCUUCGCGGUUGUCUUCGCUUCCUACCUCCUGACUCUAGCUGGCAACACACUCAUCAUCCUGCUGUCCGCGCUGGACCCCAGGCUCCACUCCCCGAUGUACUUUUUCCUCUCCAACCUCUCCUUCUUGGACCUCUGUUUCACCACGAGCUGUGUCCCCCAGAUGCUGGCCCACCUGUGGGGCCCACAGAAGACCAUCAGCUUCCUUGGCUGUGCUGUCCAGCUCUUCAUCUUCCUGCUCCUGGGGACCACUGAGUGUGUCCUCCUGACAGUGAUGGCCUUUGACCGCUAUGUGGCUGUCUGCCAACCCCUCCACUAUGCCACCAGCAUGCACCCCCGCCUGUGCCGGCAGCUGGCCGCAGUGGCCUGGGUGAUGGGUCUGGUCCAAUCGAUAGUCCAGACACCACCCACACUCCGCCUGCCCUUCUGCCCCCACCGGCAGAUAGAUGACUUUGUAUGUCAAGUCCCUUCUCUAAUUCGACUCUCCUGUGGGGACACCACCUUCAAUGGAAUUCAAUUAGCUGUGUCCAGUGUCAUCUUCCUGGUCAUGCCACUCGCCCUCAUUCUUAUCUCUUACGGUGCCAUCGCCCGGGCAGUGCUGAGGAUCAGCUCUGCCACAGCAUGGAGGAAGGCCCUGGGGACCUGCUCCUCCCAUCUCGCUGUGGUCACCCUCUUCUACAGCUCGGGCAUUGCCGUCUACCUCCAGCCCAAAAGUCCCUAUGCCCAGAGGAGGGGCAAGUUCUUUGGUCUCUUCUAUGCGGUGGGCAUCCCUUCACUUAACCCUCUCAUAUACACCCUGAGGAACAAGGAGGUCAAGGGGGCGCUCGGGAGGUUGCUGGGGCAGGAUGGGGACUCCAGGGAGAGCUGAAGGAGAGAUGCUUCAUGUGCUUUCAAUGAGAGGAUAUUUUUUAUUCUUUUUUGAGCAAGUUUGAGUUCUCCAGUCUACAGCCUUCUUAUACCAAUCCAAGGCACUACAGCAGAGGUAAGAAAACAGCCCAAGAGUACAGAAGACAGAGCCUGGAGAUAGAUUGCUGCCUGGUGGGAAGGUGGACAAGAUCUCUUCUUCCAGGACCAUGAGCGUUCAAGGGCCCCACUGUCAGGCACCUCCAGAUGACACCUACACCAUGGCCUGCAGGCUCCCACCAGACUUCCAGGGUCUCAGCAGUAGGGCAAAGCAAAGACUAACCACCUGAGUUCUCCACUCCCAGGCAGAAUGUACCAACCCUGUCUUUUAUUUGCUGUAUCCUGAUGCUUUGACAUCUGGGGUCUUGUUGACCCUAGAGGAACAUCCUCCAGGAUCAGCUCAUUCCUAGAGGUGGUAAACAGAUCACCCUGAGCGUCAAUUUUCAAAUGCAAAUCAACCAAUUCAGAGCUCAUAUCCUAACCACCACCUUUAUCAAGCCCUCACCUUCCAGGCUAGCUACCAUCCACCCCCAAUCAAUACACAGCCAGGUAGGGACAACCAGAAACACCCCCUAUGUCUGAGCCACUGAAACUGUACACGCUAGUCAUUCCUAAACCACUGAAACUGUACACGCUAGUCACUCUUAAAACCUCAACAAAAACCGCAUGAAAGGCUCUUGCCCAUAGUACCCCCUCUUCUCUGCCUAGGACCAACUCCGCAGCCUCCUUCUGUGGCCUGGCAUGACGUGGCAAGACCUCCUCUUGGGGUCUGCAACUAACUAACCAUCUUUUCU